GCGCGCGUAGGCGGUUUAUUUAAGUGAGGUGUGAAAUCCCCUGGGGCUCAACCUAGGAACUGCAUUUCAAACUGGAUAACUUGAGUAUGUCAGAGGGUAUUGGAAUUCCCGUGUAGCAGUGAAAUGCGUAGAUAUGGGAAGGAACAUCAGUGGCGAAGGCGAAUACCUGGGAUAAUACUGACGCUUCGAGGUGCGAAAGCGUGGGGACGCAAACGGGAUUAGAUACCCUGGUAG
Molecule: ribosomal RNA, 234 nt
Filed under: uncultured bacterium
Lineage: Bacteria
Description: partial 16S ribosomal RNA
Rfam family: Bacterial small subunit ribosomal RNA
Source: RNAcentral